GUCGCACGAGCGCACCCCUACCGUCUGUUGCCAACAGGUAAUGCUGGGGACUCAGGCGGAACUGCCGGUGACAAACCGGAGGAAGGUGGGGACGAGGUCAGGUCAUCAUGAUCCUUACGCCCAGGGCUACACACGUGCUACAAUGGCCGGUACAAAGGGCUGCAAUCCCGCGAGGGGGAGCGAAUCCCAAAAAGCCGGUCUAAGUUCGGAUUGUAGUCUGCAACUCGACUGCAUGAAGUCGGAAUCGCUAGUAAUCGUGUAUCAGCAACGACACGGUGAAUACGUUCCCGGGCCUUGUACACACCGCCCGUCAAGCCAUGGAAGCCGGGAGUGCCCGAAGUCCGUGAUCCAACUUCGUGAGGAAGCGGCCGAAGGUAAGUUCGGUGACUGGGGCUAAGUCGUAACAAGGUAGCCGUAGGGGAACCUGCGGCUGGAUCACCUCCUUU
This 446-nucleotide ribosomal RNA is filed under the name uncultured Gammaproteobacteria bacterium. RNAcentral's name for it is "bacterial SSU rRNA". It matches the Rfam family "Bacterial small subunit ribosomal RNA", at positions 1084 to 1533 of the family's 1533-position model. Lineage: Bacteria; Pseudomonadati; Pseudomonadota; Gammaproteobacteria. The record is from RNAcentral.